Molecule: unclassified non-coding RNA, 284 nt
Filed under: plant metagenome
Description: partial contains small subunit ribosomal RNA, internal transcribed spacer 1, and 5.8S ribosomal RNA
Rfam family: Eukaryotic small subunit ribosomal RNA (bases 1-54)
Source: RNAcentral
GGAAGUAAAAGUCGUAAAAAGGUUUCCGUAGGUGAACCUGCGGAAGGAUCAUUAAUGAAUUUUAGGGUGUCUACUUGUAGAGCCUGACCUCCAUUUUCUAACUCUGUGCAUUUAUUGGCGGGACUUGGUGAAGAAAGAAAUGGGUGUUAAAAACCUUGAUCUUUUUCUUUGCCUUGACCUGCGGCUCAUUUUAAACACCAGUCAAAGAAUGUAAUGAAAUAUUAAAAUAAAAUAAAACUUUCAACAACGGAUCUCUUGGCUCUCGCAUCGAGGAAGAACGCAGC